RNAcentral lists this transfer RNA (70 nucleotides) under Rattus norvegicus (Norway rat). It matches the Rfam family "tRNA". Rfam says of the family: Transfer RNA (tRNA) molecules are approximately 80 nucleotides in length. Lineage: Eukaryota; Metazoa; Chordata; Mammalia; Rodentia; Muridae. The record is from Rfam by way of RNAcentral.
AGGGAUGUGGCUCAGUUGGUAGAGUGCCUGCCUAGCAUGCAUGAAUCCCUGGGUUCAAUGUCCAGCACUA